RNAcentral lists this ribosomal RNA (419 nucleotides) under bacterium. RNAcentral's name for it is "partial 16S ribosomal RNA". It matches the Rfam family "Bacterial small subunit ribosomal RNA", at positions 355 to 776 of the family's 1533-position model. The record is from RNAcentral.
UGGGGGAUAUUGCACAAUGGGCGAAAGCCUGAUCCAGCGACGCCGCGUGGGGGAUGAAGGCCUUCGGGUUGUAAACUUCUUUUGCUCUGAACAAGGCAUGCUAAUGGGUGUGUUGAGUGUAGGGGUUGAUUAGCGCCGGCUAACUACGUGCCAGCAGCCGCGGUAAUACGUAGGGCGCGAGCGUUGUCCGGAAUUAUUGGGCGUAAAGGGCUUGUAGGUGGCUGGUUGCGUCUGUCGUGAAAGCUCAUGGCUUAACUGUGGGUUUGCGGUGGGUACGGGCUGGCUUGAGUGCAGUAGGGGAGGCUGGAAUUCCUGGUGUAGCGGUGGAAUGCGCAGAUAUCAGGAGGAAUACCGGUGGCGAAGGCGGGUCUCUGGGCUGUUACUGACACUGAGGAGCGAAAGCAUGGGGAGCAAACAGG